Molecule: long non-coding RNA, 564 nt
Filed under: Oryza brachyantha (malo sina)
Lineage: Eukaryota; Viridiplantae; Streptophyta; Magnoliopsida; Poales; Poaceae
Description: long non-coding RNA (OBRA_LNC001267)
Source: RNAcentral
CCUGUAGGACCAUAAUAUAUGUGGUUAUGUGAUAUGUGUCAAAUCUACGCAGUUUUUGUGAAACUGGACUCAAAAUAGGUGCGGUUUGGUCAAAUUAUUUUUUAUUCCUGAACCGAUCGACACUCUGAUAACCAUGAAUUUGUUCCUGAUAAAUUGUGUUUACCUGUGCUAAGUUUCUAUAGAAUUUUUCACUGUGAUCUUCUGCACAAUUCUUGGAUUGGUGUGCCUGCUCUGAUUCUUCAUGUGACGCAUUGAAAUUUACAAGCAAUCGAAGCAACUACAAUUCUAAGCCGUCUAUGAAAUAUGGUUGUCUCGCUAACUAUGUGCAACUCAUGCACACUGGCGUGUACAAGAUCAAAGUGUCAUCUUGACCGUGCGUUGUCAAAGCCUCGGGAUUCGUGCGCGCUCUCCUGUAGGAAGAUCGUGUCCCUCCGAUGCCUCGCCGCCUCGAGAUGACCGACCCGGUCCACCGAGCAGUCCGUCGACCACCGCGGCGUCGGCUCGUCGGCGCACCGGUGCACCGUGACGCGCACCUCCGCCUCGCCGGCCGAGUGGCGACCGGGG